AGCAGCCGCGGUAAUUCCAGCUCCAAUAGCGUAUACUAAAGUUGUUGCAGUUAAAAAGCUCGUAGUUGAAUUUCGGGAUCAACACGUUGGUCGUGCCUCAGGUAUGCACUGGCGUUGUUGGUUUCUCCCUCCUGACGAGUUUUAAUGCCAUUAAUUUGGUGUUAGGAGGAGUCAGGACUGUUACUUUGAAAAAAUUAGAGUGUUUAAAGCAGGCAAUCGCUUGAAUACAUUAGCAUGGAAUAAUGAAAUAGGACGUUCGAUCCUAUUUCGUUGGUUUCUAGGAUCAACGUAAUGAUUAAUAGGGAUAGUUGGGGGCAUUAGUAUUCAAUUGUCAGAGGUGAAAUUCUUGGAUUUAUUGAAGACUAACUACUGCGAAAGCAUUUGCCAAGGAUGUUUUCAUUAAUCAAGAACGAAAGUUAGGGGAUCGAAGACGAUCAGAUACCGUCGUAGUCUUAACCAUAAACUAUGCCGACUAGGGAUCGGAUGAUGUUAAUUUUUUAAUGACUCAUUCGGCGCCUUACG
This 522-nucleotide ribosomal RNA is filed under the name uncultured Glomus. RNAcentral describes it as "SSU rRNA". It matches the Rfam family "Eukaryotic small subunit ribosomal RNA", at positions 569 to 1092 of the family's 1831-position model. The record is from RNAcentral. Lineage: Eukaryota; Fungi; Glomeromycota; Glomeromycetes; Glomerales; Glomeraceae.